AUUUAUAUAGUAUAUAAAGUAUGUUUGACUUCCAAUCAAACGGUCUAAUUAUUUUUAGUAUAAAUA
RNAcentral lists this transfer RNA (66 nucleotides) under Elaphrus cupreus. RNAcentral's name for it is "tRNA-Gly". Lineage: Eukaryota; Metazoa; Arthropoda; Insecta; Coleoptera; Carabidae. The record is from RNAcentral.